UACGAAGGAUCCAAGCGUUAUCCGGAUUUAUUGGGUUUAAAGGGUGCGUAGGCGGACUAUUAAGUCAGUGGUGAAAGCCCCAGGCUCAACCUGGGAAUUGCCAUUGAUACUGAUGGUCUUGAGUACACUUGAAGUGGGCGGAAUGUGUCAUGUAGCGGUGAAAUGCUUAGAUAUUGGGAAGAACACCGGUGGCGAAGGCGGCCAUCUGGACCGUAUCUGACGCUGAGGCGCGAAAGCGUGGGGAGCAAACAGG
This 253-nucleotide ribosomal RNA is filed under the name uncultured bacterium. RNAcentral's name for it is "partial 16S ribosomal RNA". It matches the Rfam family "Bacterial small subunit ribosomal RNA", at positions 524 to 776 of the family's 1533-position model. The record is from RNAcentral.